GACGAACGCUGGCGGCGUGCCUAAUACAUGCAAGUCGAACGCUUCUUUCCUCCCGAGUGCUUGCACUCCAUUGGAAAGAGGAGUGGCGGACGGGUGAGUAACACGUGGGUAACCUACCCAUCAGAGGGGGAUAACACUUGGAAACAGGUGCUAAUACCGCAUAACAGUUUAUGCCGCAUGGCAUAAGAGUGAAAGGCGCUUUCGGGUGUCGCUGAUGGAUGGACCCGCGGUGCAUUAGCUAGUUGGUGAGGUAACGGCUCACCAAGGCCACGAUGCAUAGCCGACCGGAGAGGGUGAUCGGCCACACUGGGACUGAGACACGGCCCAGACUCCUACGGGAGGCAGCAGUAGGGAAUCUUCGGCAAUGGACGAAAGUCUGACCGAGCAACGCCGCGUGAGUGAAGAAGGUGUUCGGAUCGUAAAACUCUGUUGUUAGAGAAAAACAAGGACGUUAGUAACUGAACGUCCCCUGACGGUAUCUAACCAGAAAGCCACGGCUAACUACGUG
Molecule: ribosomal RNA, 508 nt
Filed under: uncultured bacterium
Lineage: Bacteria
Description: partial 16S ribosomal RNA
Rfam family: Bacterial small subunit ribosomal RNA
Source: RNAcentral